RNAcentral lists this transfer RNA (85 nucleotides) under Planctomycetota bacterium. RNAcentral describes it as "Planctomycetes bacterium (hot springs metagenome) tRNA-Leu". It matches the Rfam family "tRNA". Rfam says of the family: Transfer RNA (tRNA) molecules are approximately 80 nucleotides in length. Their secondary structure includes four short double-helical elements and three loops (D, anti-codon, and T loops). Lineage: Bacteria; Pseudomonadati; Planctomycetota. The record is from RNAcentral.
GGCCGAGUGGCGGAAAGGUAGACGCACAGGACUUAAAAUCCUGUGGGCGGUGACGCCCGUGCGGGUUCGAAUCCCGCCUCGGCUA